GUCUGGAUAGUGUAUAAAACACACCACCUUUUCGAGGUGGAGAAGAACAUUGUUCUCUAGAUA
Molecule: transfer RNA, 63 nt
Filed under: Tritoniopsis elegans
Lineage: Eukaryota; Metazoa; Mollusca; Gastropoda; Nudibranchia; Tritoniidae
Description: tRNA-Glu
Source: RNAcentral